Long non-coding RNA from Arabidopsis lyrata subsp. lyrata, 678 nucleotides. RefSeq lists it as uncharacterized. The transcript is spliced from 3 exons. Lineage: Eukaryota; Viridiplantae; Streptophyta; Magnoliopsida; Brassicales; Brassicaceae. The record is from RefSeq and is a predicted model, not a curated record.
AACACAAACUCACGCGUAAAAAGAAAAACAAAAGCUCUUUCUCUCUUUCUUUCUUUGCGAUGGCGAUGGCGAUUUGGUUCGAUUUUCUCCGGCGAUUGAGGCAGACGGCGAAGAUUGAGGGAAGAAUUGAGUGGUUAGGCCGGGAAUGAGAAUGAUGAUGCAUGAUUGAAGUGAGGAGGAGUCGUUGCAUGUUUGAUUUUUAGGGUUCAUAGUUUCGGAUUGAAUCAAAUUGAGUCAGGAUUGUUUCAUUAGGGGUUUCAUUGAUAUUUAUUUGUUAGGAUUGAAUCAAAUUGAGUCAUAGAAUGCUAGAUUUAUGGUAAAUAGUUUUGUUCCGGUAAGCUUAUUGGCUCUGCGAUUCAUGGAUCCAUACUUUGCAAGGUGAUGGAAAGCUUGGAACAUGCGAUGAGACGUGGUACUCUAAUUGUAGCAGAAUAUCUUGGAGGUGCUGUUAAUUGUGAUGCUCACCAUAUGACUUCUCAAGCAUCAUGAAAAUAUUGCCUACUAGGAUGAGAUUGUAGGCUUGGGGUUGCUUGUCUCACCUCUAUGAUGCAUUCCUUGCGCUUCAUGAACUGGGAUGAGCUUUUGUCUUGGAUUUGAAUGACAAGUGCUUCAACUCCUGCUACAUUUUUUUCUUGUUGUAACCAAAUAAAAAUAUAUGUAUUGUUUUACAAGUUUAAA